RNAcentral lists this long non-coding RNA (506 nucleotides) under Mytilus galloprovincialis (Mediterranean mussel). Lineage: Eukaryota; Metazoa; Mollusca; Bivalvia; Mytilida; Mytilidae. The record is from RNAcentral.
UGUCACCAAAAUACAAACUUUAUUUUUUGUGUUUUGUUGUAAUAAGCAUUAUGUAUUAGAUUCAUAAUAUUUGGUUGAAGCAAACUUAAGUUAGAGAACAGAAACAAAAAACUCAGCAAUUUUUCCAUUUGAAAAGGGGCAUAACUCUAAAAAGAUAAAAGUGAUGCCACCAAACUUUAUACUUGAUCUGUAUAACCAUGUUGGCCAUGUUGGCUGGCAGGUUGAAUCAUUAGACACAUCUUUUUAACAAGAUACUAAAAUGAUAAUUGUAGGAAUUUCAGGAUAGCAACAGACAACACUGGGCUACAAGUGAUGAGAAUAGCUUACUCAACAGUACACCUUGGCUCAGCAAGUUUUGAAAAUAAUUUUGAUCCAAUUGAUGAUGAGAAAAAAAAUUCGUAAGGGUUCCACGGAACCCAGUGUCUCGCCUACUUUUGCUGUUAAUCGCAGACUCAACAAAAAUGAGGAAAAACAUCAAUAAAAAUUUUCCUCUCGAUACUGUCUUU